AACGAACGCUGGCGGCAUGCCUAACACAUGCAAGUCGAACGAGAAAGCCCUUCGGGGUGAGUAGAGUGGCGCACGGGUGAGUAACACGUAGAUAACUUACCUUUCGGCGGGGGAUAACCCGGGGAAACUCGGGCUAAUACCGCGUACGCACUACGGUGGAAAGGGUGCCUUUGGCAUCUGCCGAAAGAUGGGUCUGCGCGACAUUAGCUUGAUGGUGGGGUAAUGGCCUACCAUGGCGACGAUGUAUAGCUGGUCUGAGAGGAUGAUCAGCCACACUGGGACUGAGACACGGCCCAG
Molecule: ribosomal RNA, 297 nt
Filed under: uncultured bacterium
Lineage: Bacteria
Description: partial 16S ribosomal RNA
Rfam family: Bacterial small subunit ribosomal RNA
Source: RNAcentral